UUCACAAUAUAAGUCAUUCUAGCAUUUCCCACAUUCAUAUUAAUGCUAAUGAAUCUAGAUAUCAAUAUGAAUGUGGGAAAUGCUAGAAUGACUUACAUUGUGAAACGGAG
This 110-nucleotide unclassified non-coding RNA is filed under the name Oryza sativa (Asian cultivated rice). Its description in RNAcentral is "partial microRNA MIR472a-15 precursor". Lineage: Eukaryota; Viridiplantae; Streptophyta; Magnoliopsida; Poales; Poaceae. The record is from RNAcentral.